GUUUAGGGGUAAACCUGAGAAACCCGAAAGGUCGAAGGGAGAAAUUCAUUCGCGUUUCGAAGCAGGCGUUCGGCGGUCGAGCGACGGAAAGACGUUCGCGUCUUUUCGCGCCUUCCGUCUUACGAACCGGCAACGAACGCGUGCACUUUUCUCCCGGUAGGACGUCGCGAUCCGUCGGGUGUCGGUCUACGGCUCGCGGUGGAGCCCGUCCGUCGUCGUCUCGCGACGCACGCACGGACGGACCCGCGUGUCCCGGCCGACCCGCUCGACGGUAUACGAAAGGUUCAAGGCCGCUCUCGGAGCGUUCGGCUCGCGGCAAGCGCGUCAGUUGCGUUGGCGAUCGGACCCGGUGCCGAUUCCGACCUCUGGCGACUGUUGGCCGCGAAGUUUCUCGAACAGACCUUAGAACCGAUCCGCGACGCUAUAGCUUUGGGUACUUUCAGGACCCGUCUUGAAACACGGACCAAGGAGUCUAGCAUGUACGCGAGUCAUUGGGAAUCACUAAACCUAAAGGCGCAAUGAAAGUGAAGGCCUUCCUCGCGAGGGCCGAGGGAAGACGGGCGGUUCGCCCUUAAAAGCGACCGCUCCGCAUUCCCGGGGCGUCUCGUUCUCAUUGCGAGAAGAGGCGCACCAUGAGCGUACACGCUGGGACCCGAAAGAUGGUGAACUAUGCCUGGUCAGGACGAAGUCAGGGGAAACCCUGAUGGAGGUCCGUAGCGAUUCUGACGUGCAAAUCGAUCGUCGGAACUGGGUAUAGGGGCGAAAGACUAAUCGAACCAUC
Molecule: ribosomal RNA, 781 nt
Filed under: Rhyncolus sp. A BHJ-2011
Lineage: Eukaryota; Metazoa; Arthropoda; Insecta; Coleoptera; Curculionidae
Description: eukaryotic LSU rRNA
Rfam family: Eukaryotic large subunit ribosomal RNA
Source: RNAcentral